UACAGAGGUCUCAAGCGUUGUUCGGAUUCAUUGGGCGUAAAGGGUGCGUAGGCGGCGCGGUAAGUCGGGUGUGAAAUUUCGGAGCUUAACUCCGAAACUGCAUUCGAUACUGCGGUGCUUGAGGACUGGAGAGGAGACUGGAAUUCAUGGUGUAGCAGUGAAAUGCGUAGAGAUCAUGAGGAACACCGGUGGCGAAGGCGGGUCUCUGGGCAACAACUGACGCUGAGGAGCGAAAGCGUGGGGAGCGAACAGG
Molecule: ribosomal RNA, 253 nt
Filed under: uncultured bacterium
Lineage: Bacteria
Description: partial 16S ribosomal RNA
Rfam family: Bacterial small subunit ribosomal RNA
Source: RNAcentral